UACGAAGGGGGCUAGCGUUGCUCGGAAUCACUGGGCGUAAAGGGUGCGUAGGCGGGUCUUUAAGUCAGGGGUGAAAUCCUGGAGCUCAACUCCAGAACUGCCUUUGAUACUGAAGAUCUUGAGUUCGGGAGAGGUGAGUGGAACUGCGAGUGUAGAGGUGAAAUUCGUAGAUAUUCGCAAGAACACCAGUGGCGAAGGCGGCUCACUGGCCCGAUACUGACUCUGAUGCACGAAAGCGUGGGGAGCAAACAGG
This 253-nucleotide ribosomal RNA is filed under the name uncultured bacterium. RNAcentral's name for it is "partial 16S ribosomal RNA". It matches the Rfam family "Bacterial small subunit ribosomal RNA", at positions 524 to 776 of the family's 1533-position model. The record is from RNAcentral.